ACGAACGCUGGCGGCGUGCUUAACACCUGCAAGUCGAACGGAAAGGCCCUGCUUGCAGGGUACUCGAGUGGCGAACGGGUGAGUAACACGUGGGUGAUCUGCCCUGCACUUCGGGAUAAGCUUGGGAAACUGGGUCUAAUACCGGAUAGGAGCCAUCUUUAGUGUGGUGGUUGGAAAGUUUUUUCGGUGUAGGAUGAGCUCGCGGCCUAUCAGCUUGUUGGUGGGGUAAUGGCCUACCAAGGCGGCGACGGGUAGCCGGCCUGAGAGGGUGUACGGCCACAUUGGGACUGAGAUACGGCCCAGACUCCUACGGGAGGCAGCAGUGGGGAAUAUUGCACAAUGGGCGCAAGCCUGAUGCAGCGACGCCGCGUGGGGGAUGAAGGCCUUCGGGUUGUAAACUCCUUUCGCUAGGGACGAAGCUUUUUUGUGACGGUACCUAGAUAAGAAGCACCGGCUAACUACGUG
This 465-nucleotide ribosomal RNA is filed under the name uncultured bacterium. RNAcentral describes it as "partial 16S ribosomal RNA". It matches the Rfam family "Bacterial small subunit ribosomal RNA", at positions 29 to 507 of the family's 1533-position model. The record is from RNAcentral.